GAUUUAAUUUCAUCUAGAAGGCAUCAUUUGGUGUUUUUAAUUGAAACUCUAGUUCAUUCGUCGAAGAUUGAGGAGUUCAGUGUUAAGUUUGGGUUCGAAGGAUUAUUUGUUGUUGAUAGGAUUGGUAGGUGUGGGGGUUUGACUCUUUUAUGAAAGAGGAGAGAUGAUUAUACACUUUUAGGUUAUUCAAAUAACCAUAUUGAUGUGGAGAUGUGUAUAGAGGGAUAUGCUAGCUGGAGAUUUACGGGCUAUUACGGAUAUCUUGAGAGGAAUAAGAGGAGGGAAGCUUGGAAUUUUAUUCGGCAUCUUCAUUCAUUAUAAUCGUUGCCUUGUGUUUAAUGGGUGAUUACAAUGAAUUAUUGAACGAGGAGGAUAAGAGAGGUCAUGUUCCUAUUCCUGCAUGGAUGUUACGUGGGUUUAAGGAUGUGGUUUUGGAUGUUGGGCUUUGUGAUUUACCAGUUAAUAGGCAUCAAUACACUUGGAAUAGAGGUUUUAGGACUGUACAUAGUCUGGAAGAGAGGAUUGAUCGAUGGAUGGUUACUCUAGAUGGCAUUUUUUCCAGAUACUAGGCUUUCAAAUCUUAUUGCUGCUACAUCUGAUCAUAGCCCGAUAGAGCUGGUCAUUGUCCAGGUUCUUCGUCAUGGGCAUCGUCGGGUUUUCAAGUUCGAGAAUGGGUGGUUACAUGAGCCAGAGCUAAAGACGGUGGUGUUGAACAGUUGGGGCAUUAAUGAAGCAAGUCCUUUAUUAGAUAAACUAAUUCGUUGUGCUACUGCUUUGGAGCUGUGGGUUUGAAAAAGCAACUUAGGAAUCUUUUCGCUCAAAAAGAGGAUUUUUGGCAUCAAAGUGCCAAGUGUUUCUGGCUGCAACGUGGAGAUACCAAUUCCAAGUUUUUUCAUUCCAUGGCUUCGACUAGAAAGAAUAUUAAUAAAAUUGUGAAGCUUCGUGGGGACAAUGGUGAGUGGGUUGAUAAUCCUACUAGCCUUGCAAAUAUUGUUGGAAAAUGUUUUAAAGGCCUUUUUGAAUCGGAUGAGGGAUGGCAGGAUCCGGAUCAAUCAUUUGUUUAUGGUAGAGUGUUGGUCGAAGAUAAUGAAUAUUUGGUAGCUCCUUUGACUUAUGAGGAAUUUCAGUGUGCAAUUCUUCAAAUGCAUCCAGAUAAGUCUCUAGGACCAGAUGGCUUGAAUCCAACUUUUUACCUGAAGUUUUGGCCUCAAAUUGGGAUUUGAGACAAGGGGAUCCACUAUCACCGUAUCUCUUUAUGAUGCAGGCGACUGAGAGAAGAGGUGAGAUUCAUGGUUGUCUUAUUAGUAGAGGUGCUCUUGCAGUGUCCCAUUUACUCUUUGCAGAUGACAGUUUUUUCUUCUUUGAUAGUUCAACUAUUGAGUGCAGGAA
This is an RNA transcript of Ricinus communis (castor bean), 1389 nucleotides long. RefSeq lists it as uncharacterized. NCBI's taxonomy places the organism in Eukaryota, Viridiplantae, Streptophyta, Magnoliopsida, Malpighiales, Euphorbiaceae. The record is from RefSeq and is a predicted model, not a curated record. The transcript is spliced from 3 exons.